GAUGAACGCUGGCGGCGUGCCUAAUACAUGCAAGUCGAGCGAACAGACGAGGAGCUUGCUCCUCUGACGUUAGCGGCGGACGGGUGAGUAACACGUGGAUAACCUACCUAUAAGACUGGGAUAACUUCGGGAAACCGGAGCUAAUACCGGAUAAUAUAUUGAACCGCAUGGUUCAAUAGUGAAAGACGGUUUUGCUGUCACUUAUAGAUGGAUCCGCGCCGCAUUAGCUAGUUGGUAAGGUAACGGCUUACCAAGGCAACGAUGCGUAGCCGACCUGAGAGGGUGAUCGGCCACACUGGAACUGAGACACGGUCCAGACUCCUACGGGGGGCAGCAGUAGGGAAUCUUCCGCAAUGGGCGAAAGCCUGACGGAGCAACGCCGCGUGAGUGAUGAAGGUCUUCGGAUCGUAAAACUUUGUUAUUAGGGAAGAACAAAUGUGUAAGUAACUAUGCACGUCUUGACGGUACCUAAUCAGAAAGCCACGGCUAACUACGUG
Molecule: ribosomal RNA, 497 nt
Filed under: uncultured bacterium
Lineage: Bacteria
Description: partial 16S ribosomal RNA
Rfam family: Bacterial small subunit ribosomal RNA
Source: RNAcentral